AUCCAGCUAACGAGUCCCAAAUAGGACGCAACGCGCGUCAAACUGGAU
Molecule: non-coding RNA, 48 nt
Organism: Schistosoma mansoni
Lineage: Eukaryota; Metazoa; Platyhelminthes; Trematoda; Strigeidida; Schistosomatidae
Source: Rfam